GCACCGAAGCCUGCGKWMAKCGACGGCUGAUGCGUUGUUGGUAGGGAGCGUUCUGUAAGCCUGCGAAGGUGUGCUGUGAGGCAUGCUGGAGGUAUCAGAAGUGCGAAUGCUGACAUAAGUAACGAUAAAGCGGGUGAAAAGCCCGCUCGCCGGAAGACCAAGGGUUCCUGUCCAACGUUAAUCGGGGCAGGGUGAGUCGACCCCUAAGGCGAGGCCGAAAGGCGUAGUCGAUGGGAAACAGGUUAAUAUUCCUGUACUUGGUGUUACUGCGAAGGGGGGACGGAGAAGGCUAUGUUGGCCGGGCGACGGUUGUCCCGGUUUAAGCGUGUAGGCUGGUUUUCCAGGCAAAUCCGGAAAAUCAAGGCUGAGGCGUGAUGACGAGGCACUACGGUGCUGAAGCAACAAAUGCCCUGCUUCCAGGAAAAGCCUCUAAGCAUCAGGUAACAUCAAAUCGUACCCCAAACCGACACAGGUGGUCAGGUAGAGAAUACCAAGGCGCUUGAGAGAACUCGGGUGAAGGAACUAGGCAAAAUGGUGCCGUAACUUCGGGAGAAGGCACGCUGAUAUGUAGGUGAAGCGACUUGCUCGUGGAGCUGAAAUCAGUCGAAGAUACCAGCUGGCUGCAACUGUUUAUUAAAAACACAGCACUGUGCAAACACGAAAGUGGACGUAUACGGUGUGACGCCUGCCCGGUGCCGGAAGGUUAAUUGAUGGGGUUAGCGCAAGCGAAGCUCUUGAUCGAAGCCCCGGUAAACGGCGGCCGUAACUAUAACGGUCCUAAGGUAGCGAAAUUCCUUGUCGGGUAAGUUCCGACCUGCACGAAUGGCGUAAUGAUGGCCAGGCUGUCUCCACCCGAGACUCAGUGAAAUUGAACUCGCUGUGAAGAUGCAGUGUACCCGCGGCAAGACGGAAAGACCCCGUGAACCUUUACUAUAGCUUGACACUGAACAUUGAGCCUUGAUGUGUAGGAUAGGUGGGAGGCUUUGAAGUGUGGACGCCAGUCUGCAUGGAGCCGACCUUGAAAUACCACCCUUUAAUGUUUGAUGUUCUAACGUGGACCCGUAAUCCGGGUUGCGGACAGUGUCUGGUGGGUAGUUUGACUGGGGCGGUCUCCUCCUAAAGAGUAACGGAGGAGCACGAAGGUUGGCUAAUCCUGGUCGGACAUCAGGAGGUUAGUGCAAUGGCAUAAGCCAGCUUGACUGCGAGCGUGACGGCGCGAGCAGGUGCGAAAGCAGGUCAUAGUGAUCCGGUGGUUCUGAAUGGAAGGGCCAUCGCUCAACGGAUAAAAGGUACUCCGGGGAUAACAGGCUGAUACCGCCCAAGAGUUCAUAUCGACGGCGGUGUUUGGCACCUCGAUGUCGGCUCAUCACAUCCUGGGGCUGAAGUAGGUCCCAAGGGUAUGGCUGUUCGCCAUUUAAAGUGGUACGCGAGCUGGGUUUAGAACGUCGUGAGACAGUUCGGUCCCUAUCUGCCGUGGGCGCUGGAGAACUGAGGGGGCUGCUCCUAGUACGAGAGGACCGGAGUGGACGCAUCACUGGUGUUCGGGUUGUCAUGCCAAUGGCACUGCCCGGUAGCUAAAUGCGGAAGAGAUAAGUGCUGAAAGCAUCUAAGCACGAAACUUGCCCCGAGAUGAGUUCUCCCUGACUCCUUGAGAGUCCUGAAGGAACGUUGAAGACGACGACGUUGAUAGGCCGGGUGUGUAAGCGCAGCGAUGCGUUGAGCUAACCGGUACUAAUGAACCGUGAGGCUUAACCUUAC
Molecule: ribosomal RNA, 1758 nt
Filed under: Escherichia coli O104:H4 str. 01-09591
Lineage: Bacteria; Pseudomonadati; Pseudomonadota; Gammaproteobacteria; Enterobacterales; Enterobacteriaceae
Description: bacterial LSU rRNA
Rfam family: Bacterial large subunit ribosomal RNA
Source: RNAcentral